Molecule: ribosomal RNA, 693 nt
Filed under: bacterium SVAL2.10
Lineage: Bacteria
Description: bacterial SSU rRNA
Rfam family: Bacterial small subunit ribosomal RNA
Source: RNAcentral
UGCAGUCGGACGGGAUUCGAAACUUCGGUUUUGAUGAGAGUGGCGCACGGGUGCGUAACGCGUAUGCAACCUACCUAUUACAGGGGGAUAGCCCGGGGAAACUCGGAUUAAUACCCCAUAGUAUAUUUGAAUGGCAUCAUUUAGAUAUUAAAGAUUUAUCGGUAAUAGAUGGGCAUGCGUAGGAUUAGCUAGUUGGUAAGGUAACGGCUUACCAAGGCUACGAUCCUUAGGGGUUCUGAGAGGAAGGUCCCCCACACUGGUACUGAGAUACGGACCAGACUCCUACGGGAGGCAGCAGUAGGGAAUAUUGGGCAAUGGACGGAAGUCUGACCCAGCCAUGCCGCGUGCAGGAAGACGGCCUUAUGGGUUGUAAACUGCUUUUAUCAGGGAAGAAAAAGGCCAUGCGUGGCAAAUUGCCGGUACCUGAUGAAUAAGCACCGGCUAACUCCGUGCCAGCAGCCGCGGUAAUACGGAGGGUGCAAGCGUUGUCCGGAUUUAUUGGGUUUAAAGGGUGCGUAGGCGGGUUAAUAAGUCAGCGGUGAAAGUCCAGUGCUCAACACUGGAAUUGCCAUUGAUACUGUUAAUCUUGAGUGUCGAUGGGGUACAUGGAAUUUAUGGUGUAGCGGUGAAAUGCAUAGAUACCAUAAGGAACACCGAUAGCGAAGGCAUUGUACUUAUCGAUAACUGACGCUG